UGGUGGAUUACCGGUGUGUACAGUCCUCGGGCUGAUGACAAAAUUGCUUUCCUCAACGAAUUCCAUGAGCUCCGCGCCACCAUGGCGGGGCCCUGGUUGCUCGGGGGCGACUUCAACAUGGUUACCUCAACCGCAGACAAGAACAAUGGCCAGAUCAACCAACGUACGACCAGCCGUUUUCGGCGCUUCAUCACCGACCACGCCCUGCGCGACAUCUAUAUGCAUGGACGGCGAUACACAUGGUCUAACGAGCAGCAGAACCCAACCCUCCUCCGCAAUGACCGUGUCCUGUGUACUACCUCCUGGGCGACGGGCCACCCUCAUCACCUCCUGCGCUGCCUCGCCUCCGCGGCUUCCGACCACUGCCCUCUGGUCGUCGAUUGCUCCCACUACACAAUGGGGAAACAACGGUUCCAUUUAAGCAUUUUUGGACUAAGCUCGAUGGCUUCAUGUCAACGGGGGACACGGCCUGGCAUUCCACCCCCUCGACGCGGACCUGUUCUGUCACCUGUUCGCAUGUCUCAAAGCCACCGCUCGCCAAAUCCAAAGUUGGGGCUCCCGAUCCGUUGGCCACAUCUCAUCCCAGCUCAUCACGGCACAUGA
Molecule: ribosomal RNA, 603 nt
Filed under: Triticum aestivum (bread wheat)
Lineage: Eukaryota; Viridiplantae; Streptophyta; Magnoliopsida; Poales; Poaceae
Description: partial small subunit ribosomal RNA
Source: RNAcentral